CGGGGCGUAGCGCAGCUUGGUAGCGCGUCUCGCUGGGGGUGAGAAGGUCGCAGGUUCAAGUCCUGUCGCCCCGA
This 74-nucleotide transfer RNA is filed under the name Phycisphaera mikurensis. RNAcentral describes it as "tRNA-Pro". It matches the Rfam family "tRNA". From Rfam's summary of the family: Transfer RNA (tRNA) molecules are approximately 80 nucleotides in length. Their secondary structure includes four short double-helical elements and three loops (D, anti-codon, and T loops). Further hydrogen bonds mediate the characteristic L-shaped molecular structure. tRNAs have two regions of fundamental functional importance: the anti-codon, which is responsible for specific mRNA codon recognition, and the 3' end, to which the tRNAs corresponding amino acid is attached (by aminoacyl-tRNA synthetases). tRNAs cope with the degeneracy of the genetic code in two manners: having more than one tRNA (with a specific anti-codon) for a particular amino acid; and 'wobble' base-pairing, i.e. permitting non-standard base-pairing at the 3rd anti-codon position. RNAcentral also lists the same sequence under 1 other name. The record is from RNAcentral. Lineage: Bacteria; Pseudomonadati; Planctomycetota; Phycisphaerae; Phycisphaerales; Phycisphaeraceae.